RNAcentral lists this long non-coding RNA (641 nucleotides) under Mytilus galloprovincialis (Mediterranean mussel). Lineage: Eukaryota; Metazoa; Mollusca; Bivalvia; Mytilida; Mytilidae. The record is from RNAcentral.
UACCACUCCUUCUUAAAUGUAUGUAUGUAUAUUGAAAACUCAUUUAACUUUUAUGUUUUUGCAAUAGGAAGAUGUAUACUUCUGAGUCAUGCAUUAUAGUAUCAAUUAAAGGAUACAUAUUGAUUAAAUAUAUUUUAUAUUCAACCAUUGAAGAUGGAGAUAUGUUUCUGUUAAUGCUUUGCAAUAGUAUUUGCAGUUGAAAGGGUAAAUUUAUUUAAAAAAAUUUAUUUUAAAGUUUAUCUUUUUAAAAAUUAAAUAUAAAUUGAAUUAAUACAUACAAUCAGUAUGCAUUAAUUUUUUUUAUGGUUUAAAGUAUAUUUGAGUAGUUUACCAUAAAUUCAUGGUUAUAUCAACUAGAAACUUAGUUGAUAUGUUCAUUAUUGUAUGGACUUUUAUUUUUUGUAUGUGCCAAAUUGGUGCUGUGACCCUGAAUUUGCAGUUUACUGAAAAUAAAAUACUGGGUCAUAUGGACGCAUAUUCAUGUUUUUAUUAUUUUGUUUAUAAUGCAGUGGUAAAUAGAAAAUAGCUUGUGAUCAUUAUUUAAUGAAAAAGGUUAACAUCAGUUUGAAAAUUCUAUAGAAUGCAGUGAACAUUAAGAGGAAGGUUACUCAUUUAUUUGCAAUAAACUGUAUGAAAAAUUA